CCUACGGGAUGCAGCAGUGGGGAAUAUUGCACAAUGGGCGCAAGCCUGAUGCAGCCAUGCCGCGUGUAUGAAGAAGGCCUUCGGGUUGUAAAGUACUUUCAGCGGGGAGGAAGGUGUUGUGGUUAAUAACCACAGCAAUUGACGUUACCCGCAGAAGAAGCACCGGCUAACUCCGUGCCAGCAGCCGCGGUAAUAUGGAGGGUGCAAGCGUUAAUCGGAAUCACUGGGCGUAAAGCACACGCAGGCGGUCUGUCAGGUCGGAUGUGAAAUCCCCGGGCUCAACCUGGGAACUGCAUUCGAAACUGGCAGGCUAGAGUCUUGUAGAGGGGGGUAGAAUUCCAGGUGUAGCGGUGAAAUGCGUAGAGAUCUGGAGGAAUACCGGUGGCGAAGGUGGCCCCCUGGACAAAGACUGACGCUCAGGUGCGAAAGCGUGGGGAGCAAACGGGAUUAGAUACCCUUGUAGUC
RNAcentral lists this ribosomal RNA (465 nucleotides) under uncultured bacterium. RNAcentral's name for it is "bacterial SSU rRNA". It matches the Rfam family "Bacterial small subunit ribosomal RNA", at positions 338 to 795 of the family's 1533-position model. The record is from RNAcentral.